Podarcis lilfordi (Lilford's wall lizard) is the source of this 117-nucleotide non-coding RNA. The record is from the annotation of a GenBank genome assembly. Lineage: Eukaryota; Metazoa; Chordata; Lepidosauria; Squamata; Lacertidae.
GAGUGGGGAGGAGAGAGGGACAGAGAGCCUGCUUGCUUUAAAGGAGCCAACCGGACAGGGGCCGCUUACACUCGUGUAAAGCAAGCAGGCUCUCUGUCCCUCUCUCCUCCCCACUCA